This 475-nucleotide ribosomal RNA is filed under the name uncultured Glomus. RNAcentral describes it as "SSU rRNA". It matches the Rfam family "Eukaryotic small subunit ribosomal RNA", at positions 569 to 1048 of the family's 1831-position model. The record is from RNAcentral. Lineage: Eukaryota; Fungi; Glomeromycota; Glomeromycetes; Glomerales; Glomeraceae.
AGCAGCCGCGGUAAUUCCAGCUCCAAUAGCGUAUAUUAAAGUUGUUGCAGUUAAAAAGCUCGUAGUUGAAUUUCGGGGUCAAUAAGUUGGUCGUGCCAAUGGUAUGUACUGGCUUUAUUGAUUCCUACCUCUUGACGAACUGUGAUGCCAUUAAUUUGGUGUUGCAGGAAAUCAGGACUGUUACCUUGAAAAAAUUAGAGUGUUUAAAGCAGGCUUACGCUUGAAUACAUUAGCAUGGAAUAAUGAAAUAGGACGUUUGAACCUAUUUUGUUGGUUUCUAGGAUCGACGUAAUGAUUAAUAGGGAUAGUUGGGGGCAUUAGUAUUCAAUUGUCAGAGGUGAAAUUCUUGGAUUUAUUGAAGACUAACUACUGCGAAAGCAUUUGCCAAGGAUGUUUUCAUUAAUCAAGAACGAAAGUUAGGGGAUCGAAGACGAUCAGAUACCGUCGUAGUCUUAACCAUAAACUAUGCCGACUA